UUCAACAACGGAUCUCUUGGUUCUCGCAUCGAUGAAGAACGCAGCGAAACGCGAUAGUUAAUGUGAAUUGCAGAAUUCAGUGAAUCAUCGAGUCUUUGAACGCACAUUGCGCCCAUAGGUAUUCCUUUGGGCAUGUCUGUUUGAGCGUCAUUACAAC
This 157-nucleotide ribosomal RNA is filed under the name Dactylella sp. YMF1.0360918S. Its description in RNAcentral is "5.8S ribosomal RNA". It matches the Rfam family "5.8S ribosomal RNA". Rfam says of the family: 5.8S ribosomal RNA (5.8S rRNA) is a component of the large subunit of the eukaryotic ribosome. It is transcribed by RNA polymerase I as part of the 45S precursor that also contains 18S and 28S rRNA. Functionally, it is thought that 5.8S rRNA may be involved in ribosome translocation. Lineage: Eukaryota; Fungi; Ascomycota; Orbiliomycetes; Orbiliales; Orbiliaceae. The record is from RNAcentral.